Molecule: ribosomal RNA, 440 nt
Filed under: uncultured bacterium
Lineage: Bacteria
Description: partial 16S ribosomal RNA
Rfam family: Bacterial small subunit ribosomal RNA
Source: RNAcentral
CCUACGGGAGUCAGCAGUGGGGAAUAUUGCACAAUGGGGGAAACCCUGAUGCAGCGACGCCGCGUGAGUGAAGAAGUAAUUCGUUAUGUAAAGCUCUAUCAGCAGGGAAGAAAAUGACGGUACCUGAGUAAGAAGCCCCGGCUAACUACGUGCCAGCAGCCGCGGUAAUACGUAGGGGGCAAGCGUUAUCCGGAUUUACUGGGUGUAAAGGGAGCGUAGACGGCAGGGCAAGUCUGGAGUGAAAGGCGGGGGGUCAACCCCCGGACUGCUCUUGAAACUGUACGGCUGGAUUGCAGGAGAGGUAAGUGGAAUUGCUAGUGUAGCGGUGAAAUGCGUAGAUAUUAGGAGGAACACCAGUGGCGAAGGCGGCUUACUGGACUGUAACUGACGUUGAGGCUCGAAAGCGUGGGGAGCAAACAGGAUUAGAUACCCCGGUAGUC